AGCUCACUGAGAUGUUGUAAAGAGAUGAGAGAGGAGAAAGGGCUCUCUGGGUGCUCGGGGCCGCCUGCAUGCUGGUCUCUUCGUCUGGAUUCAGAGCGCUUAUUUCUGUAAAACAGCCAGGGGCUGCUUUGCAAGCGCCCGGCAAGCUCUCGUGUCCACAAAGAUGCAGUGGCAACGACUGGGAGCCUUGUUCUCUUCUAGGCAUUUACAAACUGAUCUGUUCCUGUGUUUCCAGGUGUAGAAGAUUGAUGCCUGGAGGAGGGUGAAUCAGGCUGACCCAGGAAGGUGAAAGUCGUCCGUUGAGGUCGGUGGAGCAGGAAGCUAGAAGGAGCCGGUUUUCUCGAUGACUGCCUGGACCAGCCACAGUAACCUAGGACCAUCUAGCUCCUUAUUGCAUGAGGAAAAUAAAUCUUUAUUUGGUUAAGUAA
Non-coding RNA from Equus caballus (horse), 428 nucleotides. NCBI's taxonomy places the organism in Eukaryota, Metazoa, Chordata, Mammalia, Perissodactyla, Equidae. The record is from RefSeq and is a predicted model, not a curated record.